UAAUACGUAGGGGGCGAGCGUUGUCCGGAUUUACUGGGCGUAAAGCGCGUGUAGGUGGCGGCUUAAGUCGGGUGUGAAAGCCCGGGGCUCAACCCCGGGAUGCCGCUCGAGACUGGGUCGCUUGAGGACGGCAGAGGGGCGUGGAAUUCCUGGUGUAGCGGUGAAAUGCGUAGAGAUCAGGAGGAACACCCGUGGCGAAGGCGGCGCCCUGGGCCGUCCCUGACACUGAGACGCGAAAGCGCGGGGAGCGAACGG
RNAcentral lists this ribosomal RNA (255 nucleotides) under uncultured prokaryote. RNAcentral describes it as "partial 16S ribosomal RNA". It matches the Rfam family "Bacterial small subunit ribosomal RNA", at positions 521 to 775 of the family's 1533-position model. The record is from RNAcentral.